Long non-coding RNA from Triticum aestivum (bread wheat), 2032 nucleotides. RefSeq lists it as uncharacterized. Lineage: Eukaryota; Viridiplantae; Streptophyta; Magnoliopsida; Poales; Poaceae. The record is from RefSeq and is a predicted model, not a curated record. The transcript has 2 exons.
GGUUUGCAAGCACACCCCCCCCCCCCCCCCCCCCCCCUUUCAUUUUCCCUUCAUUUUUCUGUGUGAUUUGGUAGAUCUGGUUGAUUGUCUCGUUGUAUUCGUCUACUUGCAUUUGUCGUGUGUGGUACUUUUUGUUGCACAUGUAAAUUUAGCGGUGGAUCCCUCUUGUCUAUUUUGAUUUCUUCUUCCGAAUGUAGAUGUAGUUUUCCUGUUGAGGCCUUUCAAUUAGCGGUGUUGAUCCAUUGGCGGCUGCUAGUGUGGUAGCUUGAUGUUUGUCUGGUCUAGCCUGUUUUUGAUGUAGAUGUGUGGUUAUCUAGUGUAAUUUCUGAUGUGGAUGUAUGGUUGCUUCGCUUUUCACCUGUUGUUUGAUUCUGAACUGAAUUUCUUCAGUUAAGUAAUAGGUAUUUGGUCUGUACUACUGCAGUGUAAUUUUGAGUGGAUUUCACUGUAAUUAAGUAACAGCUGUUUGGCUACAAUAGACUGCAAUAGUGAAUGGCCAUUGUAAAUGUAAUGUUCGGUUUAAUUUUACAGUGAUAUCUCUACUGUAGUUUUAGUCUAUAGUAGUCUAUCUUACACUUGUUUUUCACUGUAAUUGGCAAGUGUAAAUGUAUUAUUUAGGUUUAUUCUGGACUGAAUUUCUUCAAUUAAGCAACAGUUGUUUGGUCUGUACUAUAGUUAUAUCUCUAUUUAAAUUUCACUGAUAUCUCUGUGUAACUUUCAGUGUAGAUGGUGGUACAUUUAACUGAAUUGUGUGCUUUCAUUGUUUUAUACUUUUGUUUACAUGGUGGUACAUUAACUGAAUUUUCCAGUACAUAGAGAAAAUAAUUUAAUGAUGAUAGAUGUAGGCAUGCAAAUGUUGAAUCUCCUAGUCGGUUGAGUCUCCUGAUGUGUACGUGUUGGUCUGAAAAAAAUUCUGUUUUAGUUUCAGUGUUUCGGACUGUAAUUUCUAGUGUAAUUUCGAGUGGAUUUUCAUUAUAGUUUCAUUUUUUAGUCUAGUGUAAUGUAUUAGCACAAAUGUUGUUUUCAGUUCAAAUUUACAGUGAUAUUUUUUACUGUUGGUUCAGGUAUAUAGACUUUUCUCUCACUGUAAUUUUGUUUCUUGUAACUUCCAAUCUGUGUUAAACUGAACAAGGGCUUAACCCCACCAUUAAUUUACACUAUAAAUUAGUGUAGCUAACCUGUAAUUUUUGUACUUACAGUCUAUGUACUGGAAUUUUCCGGUCUAACAUGCAGUGUAAUUACACUGGACUUUCAGUGUAAUUAAUUUGUUUAUUAUGUGUAACCAACCUGAAUUUUUGUACUUACAGUCUAUGCACUGAAAUUUUCCAGUCUAAUUUGCAAUGUAUUCAGUGUAAUUAACCUAUUUUUUAGUUACAGUCUAUGUACUAAAAUUUUGCAGUCUAAAUUGCAGUGUAAUUACACUGUAAAUUUAGUGUAAUUUGCAAUGUAAUUACACUCAGUGUUUAACCUGUGUGUUAAGUGUAAUUAACCUGAAUUUUUGUUCUUACUGUCUAUGUACUGUAUUUUUCCAAGAUAAAUUGCAGUGUAAUUCUACUGUAAUUUUUUUAUCACAUUUAUGUCAUAUAAGGCCUGUGGGCAGGGACCCCUUGUUAUUUAUCCUAAUGGCAGUGUAAAUUGUUCAGAGAAGCCACAUAGACGAGUUUCCUUUGCAGCACAUUGUAUAUCAGUGUUGAGUUUUCAUCAAAAAUGGGAGGAGGCUUGUGUAUCAUGAUCAUCGACUCCAUCUGUCUAUGAUAUACUUGUCAGAUGUCAUGAGGUAGGAGAGAGAUCUUGGAGGAGUGAAUGCAUAAGAGUUCGGUGUUUACCUGUGUUUUUUCUGCAUCUCCAUCCAGAUUUGUGUCCCAGAUCAUGGAGGAAUUACCCUCUCUGCUGGUGUGUUUACAUUGCAUUUUCUUAGUGGAUUUAUAGUGUAAUUCCUACUGGAUUUCGAGUGUAAUUCUAAGUGGAUUUACAGUGUAAUUCUAAGUGAAUUUACACUGUAAUUCCUACUAUAUUUAAAGUGUUUUUCUUA